RNAcentral lists this ribosomal RNA (460 nucleotides) under uncultured bacterium. Its description in RNAcentral is "partial 16S ribosomal RNA". It matches the Rfam family "Bacterial small subunit ribosomal RNA", at positions 338 to 795 of the family's 1533-position model. The record is from RNAcentral.
CCUACGGGGGGCAGCAGUGAGGAAUAUUGGGCAAUGGACGAGAGUCUGAACCAGCCAAGUAGCGUGAAGGAUGACUGCCCUAUGGGUUGUAAACUUCUUUUAUAUGGGAAUAAAAUGUUCCACGUGUGGGAUUUUGUAUGUACCAUAUGAAUAAGGAUCGGCUAACUCCGUGCCAGCAGCCGCGGUAAUACGGAAGAUCCGAGCGUUAUCCGGAUUUAUUGGGUUUAAAGGGAGCGUAGGUGGAUUGUUAAGUCAGUUGUGAAAGUUUGCGGCUCAACCGUAAAAUUGCAGUUGAAACUGGCAGUCUUGAGUACAGUAGAGGUGGGCGGAAUUCGUGGUGUAGCGGUGAAAUGCUUAGAUAUCACGAAGAACUCCGAUUGCGAAGGCAGUUCACUGGACUGCAACUGACACUGAGGCUCGAAAGUGUGGGUAUCAAACAGGAUUAGAUACCCCGGUAGUC